CUACGGGACGCACCAGUGGGGAAUAUUGCACAAUGGAGGAAACUCUGAUGCAGCAACGCCGCGUGGAGGAUGACACUUUUCGGAGCGUAAACUCCUUUUAUAUAGGAAGAAGAUGACGGUACUAUAUGAAUAAGCGCCGGCUAACUCCGUGCCAGCAGCCGCGGUAAUACGGAGGGCGCAAGCGUUACUCGGAAUCACUGGGCGUAAAGAGCGUGUAGGCGGAUUAAAAAGUCAGAAGUGAAAUCCUAUAGCUUAACUAUAGAACUGCUUCUGAAACUCUUAAUCUAGAAUAUGGGAGAGGUAGAUGGAAUUUCUGGUGUAGGGGUAAAAUCCGUAGAGAUCAGAAGGAAUACCGAUUGCGAAGGCGAUCUACUAGAACAUUAUUGACGCUGAGACGCGAAAGCGUGGGGAGCAAACAGGAUUAGAUACCCUCGUAGUC
Molecule: ribosomal RNA, 439 nt
Filed under: uncultured bacterium
Lineage: Bacteria
Description: partial 16S ribosomal RNA
Rfam family: Bacterial small subunit ribosomal RNA
Source: RNAcentral